RNAcentral lists this ribosomal RNA (253 nucleotides) under uncultured bacterium. RNAcentral's name for it is "partial 16S ribosomal RNA". It matches the Rfam family "Bacterial small subunit ribosomal RNA", at positions 524 to 776 of the family's 1533-position model. The record is from RNAcentral.
UACGUAGGGUGCAAGCGUUGUCCGGAAUUAUUGGGCGUAAAGAGCUCGUAGGCGGUUUGUCGCGUCUGCCGUGAAAGUCCGGGGCUCAACUCCGGAUCUGCGGUGGGUACGGGCAGACUAGAGUGAUGUAGGGGAGACUGGAAUUCCUGGUGUAGCGGUGAAAUGCGCAGAUAUCUGGAGGAACACCGGUGGCGAAGGCGGCGUCCUGGACCAACACUGACACUGAUGAGCGAAAGCCAGGGGAGCAAACGGG